RNAcentral lists this long non-coding RNA (356 nucleotides) under Brassica rapa (field mustard). Its description in RNAcentral is "long non-coding RNA (BRAP_LNC008149)". The record is from RNAcentral. Lineage: Eukaryota; Viridiplantae; Streptophyta; Magnoliopsida; Brassicales; Brassicaceae.
CGCCCUAUAAUUGCACUUUGGACCAUCUUCUCUCUAACUCCUCCAAAGCCUUCACAUGAUCAGUCUAAGUCUUCCCUAGACUUAACUUCCCAAGAUAACUACUUCAGAACACUUCUGAAGCUUGAUUGAACUCUUCUUGACAUCUUCUAGAGCUUGCCCUAUUAUUGUACAAGCUCUAUCUUCUCUUCAGUUCAACACUCCCCCUCAAGCUUGACUUUAGGAGAUCCUAAGCCAAGCUUGGAACUCUGAAGAGUCUCCCUCAUUAAAAACCUUACAAGGAAAACCCAUUGGGACAAAACCUUGCAAGGGAAAAAGAGUAGAGCUCUCCAAAGCCUAGGGAUUGGCCAGUGAGCUCU